RNAcentral lists this ribosomal RNA (253 nucleotides) under uncultured bacterium. Its description in RNAcentral is "partial 16S ribosomal RNA". It matches the Rfam family "Bacterial small subunit ribosomal RNA", at positions 524 to 776 of the family's 1533-position model. The record is from RNAcentral.
UACGUAGGGGGCAAGCGUUGUCCGGAAUCAUUGGGCGUAAAGCGCGUGUAGGCGGCUGACUAAGUCCGCUCUGAAAGCCCGGGGCUCAACCCCGGGAGGCGGGUGGAUACUGGUCAGCUCGAGUCCGGAAGAGGAGUGUGGAAUUCCUGGUGUAGCGGUGAAAUGCGCAGAUAUCAGGAGGAACACCAAUGGCGAAGGCAGCACUCUGGGACGGUACUGACGCUGAGACGCGAAAGCUGGGGGAGCGAACGGG